Molecule: ribosomal RNA, 253 nt
Filed under: uncultured bacterium
Lineage: Bacteria
Description: partial 16S ribosomal RNA
Rfam family: Bacterial small subunit ribosomal RNA
Source: RNAcentral
UACGGGGGGGGCAAGCGUUGUUCGGAAUUACUGGGCGUAAAGGGCGCGUAGGCGGCCUUCUAAGUCAGACGUGAAAUCCCUCGGCUCAACCUGGGAAUUGCGAUGAAGACUGCAAGGCUAGAAUCUGGCAGAGGGGGGUAGAAUUCCACGUGUAGCAGUGAAAUGCGUAGAGAUGUGGAGGAACACCGAUGGCGAAGGCAGCCCCCUGGGUCAAGAUUGACGCUCAUGCACGAAAGCGUGGGGAGCAAACAGG